Molecule: transfer RNA, 87 nt
Filed under: Gammaproteobacteria bacterium
Lineage: Bacteria; Pseudomonadati; Pseudomonadota; Gammaproteobacteria
Description: tRNA-Leu
Rfam family: tRNA
About the family: Transfer RNA (tRNA) molecules are approximately 80 nucleotides in length. Their secondary structure includes four short double-helical elements and three loops (D, anti-codon, and T loops).
Source: RNAcentral
GCCGAAGUGGUGGAACUGGUAGACACGCUACCUUGAGGGGGUAGUGGGCUUAUGCCCGUGGAGGUUCGAAUCCUCUCUUCGGCACCA